This 274-nucleotide ribosomal RNA is filed under the name uncultured bacterium. RNAcentral describes it as "partial 16S ribosomal RNA". It matches the Rfam family "Bacterial small subunit ribosomal RNA", at positions 523 to 796 of the family's 1533-position model. The record is from RNAcentral.
AUACGGAGGGGGCUAGCGUUGUUCGGAAUUACUGGGCGUAAAGGGCGUGUAGGCGGAUCGAUCAGUCAGGCGUGAAAGCCCCGGGCUCAACCCGAGAACUGCGUUUGAAACUGUCGAUCUUGAGUUCGGGAGAGGGUAGUGGAAUUCCCAGUGUAGAGGUGAAAUUCGUAGAUAUUGGGAAGAACACCAGUGGCGAAGGCGGCUACCUGGACCGGACCUGACGCUGAGGUGCGAAAGCGUGGGGAGCAAACAGGAUUAGAAACCCCGGUAGUCC